GGAGGAGGAGGAGGAGGAGGAGGAGGAAGCAACACCAGAGUUGAAGGCAAAGUCUCUUUAGUGAAUAUGGAGAAUUGAGAGCUGGUGGGAAGUCGCUACAGCAGUGGUUCUCAACCUUCCUAACGCUGCAACUCUUUAAUUCAGCUCCUCAUGUUGUGGUGACCCCAACCAUAAAAUUAUUUUUGUUGCUAUUUCACAACUGUAGUUUUGCUACUGUUGGCCAUUAUAAUGUGAAUGUCUGGUAUACCGGACAUCUGAUUGUGACUCCUAAAGGAGUCAAGACCCACAGGUUGAGAAUCACUGUAUUAGCGCUUUCUAAGUGGAUCUCAAGGAAACAGAUCCACAGGCAGAAGCUAAAGACAGAAAACUGGGGGAGACUCCAGGGGAAAAAACCAACCUCUUCGUUAGUCAAGGUUCUCCAGAGAAACAGAGCCACAGGACAGACAGAUGGACAGACAACCUGUAUGAGGAGAAAUGCAUUAUGGGAAAUGACUCACAGGUUUAUGACAGCUCAGCAGUCCCAUGCUUAUGGCAUCUGCAAGCUGGAGAGCUAUCAGUCUGGAAGCUAAAAAACCCAUAAUUUUCAUAGGUUGAUUCCCAAUAUGGAGUCGACAGCUUAAUAAUGGGUAUAAGAGGAUGCUAUGGUCUUAAUCUUGGACACCAAAGCCUCAAUAACAAGGGGCUUCAAUGCCCAGGACCAAAAAAAAAAUGGAUGACCAGUUCAAGGGUAGAAGAUUCUUCCUUCUCUUGUUUGUCCCACCCCAACCCUGAGCAGAUUGGAUAUUGACCAACAUACUGAUCAAAGCAGGUGCUCUUUGCUCAAAUGGCUCAAACCCUUUUCUCUUCUAGAAAUUGCCUCAUGAAACAUAGACAGAAAGAAUGCUUCACCAGCGAUUUGGAUGCCCCUGAGUCUGUUCAAGUGGAUGCAGAGAAUUAACCAUCACAACCCUAUUAAAUCAAGUUUGUGUAGGGAGUGGGUUUAAGGAAUAAAGGAAGAGGGUGCAACAGGGAGUAAGUGUGGGUCACAGAGAAACUUGGACAUUUCUAGCUGACAGUGGAGAACUUCUGUUCUGAGCAGACCUGUGAGUGAGCAUACACAUAAAGCAUAAGCCAGAGGCAGCAUAUUACCCAAUCUAGAGGCGGGCGCCAUAUUACCUAGUCUGGAAAGGCAAUAGAUAUCGAAUAAGGAAAGGCAGAAAUCGAGAUACAUUAGAUGAGAGAGAGAGAGAGAGAGAUUUGAGAAUGAGCUGGGUUUAGUCAACAAAUAAUUACAAGAAGCAAGAAGAAAAGCACAGAUUCAAGAUCUUGGAUAAGACAUGGCUGGUGAUAUCAUGAAAAAGAAUAAAGAAGUCACUUGGAGGAUUUGGUUGGGGACAGGGAGUUGGUGCCGAGCCUGGUUUUGUCACAUGGAUACACACUCUGUGCUUGGUGCCAAAAAGUUCCUCUCUAAAUCCAGCAGAUUGUGUUGUUGACUCUGCGGGCCUGAAUGCAUCAAUUUGUCUUACAUGUCAUGUUUCUGGGACAGUGCCCCACUUUAGCGCUGGCGACCAUGCAGAUGCUCCCGUAAAUCCCUUCCAUGGUUCAGUAAACACAGACUAUGAAACGACAUUCUACCCCACUGAUGCCAACACAAAGCACCUCGGGGGGGGGGGGGAGCGGGGGGGAAGAAACGCCAUUUUGCAGAUUAUUUCACAGCCCAGCAGUUGCAAUCUCAUGCUCGGAAUCAGGGGACUGCUCCAUUCGUGACAGAACACCACACGACCAUCCAAUGCUCAUUCCACUCGUUAGACGGAGGGUGAGUCAGAGCCAAGGAAGGUGGUUGGCCUUUAUUGUUUCAAGUUUAAAUCUAUUUCAUUCUAAUUCCAUGUGAUACAUCAGACCUUAAAAGAAUUUUGUUGUGUUCCUAUUUUUUUUUUUGCCAGACACUGAAAACCAAAGAUGACUUAAGUCAAAAAGUCUUCCUUCACAGAGCUCAAAGCCUGCAAAGUGAGACAAUCACCUUAUACACAUGACUAGAUUAUCACACCUGAUAGCUCUGAUCAUAGCUUGGUGGUAGAGAACUUACCACACUGGUAUGGUCCCCAGCACUGCCAGGAAAAAAAAAAUUACAUAAUAGAAACAUUAUAAAAAUGCUCUAAAAUCCCAGACUUGGUAUGGGGGGGAGUACUUCCUGAAGUACUCAAAAAAAAAAAAAUUACAGGACCAGGCAUAGUGAUGUAUGCCUUUAAUCCCAGCAAUGAGGAGGUAGAUGAAGAUGGAUCUCUGUGAAUUCAAGGCCAGCCUGGUCUACAUAGUAAGUUCCAGGAUAGCCAGAGCUACACAGAGAGGCUCUGGUUCAAAAAGAAACAAAAAAACAAAAACAAAAACAAAAGAAAACAAAAGAAUGUUACAGACUAGAGUGAUCUUUGAGAACAGGGAAUGAUCUCCCACUCUAAGGCUAGGCUCUGACCAGAGUAUUUCAUGCAGAUCCUCUUACAAAAUCCAAACUCUUUUUUAGACAACGCUUCACUAUGUACCCCAGGCUGGCCUUGAACUUGCAAUCCUCUGGCCUUAACCUUCUUCAUAUUUACAAUUUAUGGAUUCCUUUGUUCACUUAUUUACUUUGUGUAUGCUUAUGUGGGGAAGUGUGGCAGCACACACUAUGGCGUGUCUCAGGACAGUUCGCAGGAGUCAGCCCUCUCCUUCUAGCUUGUGGGGUUCGGAGAUUGAACUAGGGUGAUCAGUCUUGACAGUAAACACCUUUAGCUUCUGAACCAUCUUGCUGGUUCUGGCUUGCUGUUUGGAUGAGGAAACUAAACCUCCGGUGAGCCCCUAAUUCAGAUCUUCCGAGCUCCGGACCCCAUGUGCUUUAAUCCGAGUAAUCAUAAUACAGUGGAAAGUAGACAGCCACCAGCUACGGCUGAGGGAACAGAAACAAACACCAGACCCUUGCCUGGCUAGAGCAGAACAAGCAAGGAUUGCUGGUCAAUUCUGUUUGGAAUGACUAGCAAAGACCAGGUUGGAAUGGCUAUUUAAGUACAGCAAGCAGUUUGACUUAAAAUCCCAGAGGCCAGUGAUUUUAAAACCAUAUUAGGAAGACAAUGACCACCCAAGCAAUGCUGCAUUUAUUUAACUUUUAUAGACUGCAAGGAUUUGGGUAGGAUUUAUUUUAUUAAUAAAAAUGUCCCACUUCCAAAAAUAAUAUCUAAAGACUAUCCACAGUUACAGAGGAGAGGUUGUUAUAGAUUCAUAAGAAUGAAAAGUGAAGGCGGGGCUCUAACUCAGUGGUGGAGCAUUUGCCUCCCAAGAGAGAAAGACUAGAACAGGGGACAGGUUGGCAGCAUCACACAGGUACCUUAGAUACACGUGGCCACUGUGUAAAAGACAAGCCAGAUCCAUGGGUGUGGAGCAUCAGAGAGUUGGUCACUUUGUCCAUUUCUGUCUUCCCGUUACUAAUAACAGUUUCUGCACAGUGUCACUUCUUCCUGGCCACUUUGGAGAUGCCAUCUUUGUCCACAUCUUUGUCUCUUCGGUAUGAACAGAAUUCCUGUUCACAACUUCUUUAUUACUCCUUGGAUGGGAGGCCUUGACUUUUUCUUUCUAGGACUUGUCUUAAGGCACAGGCAGAGUGAUAUAGACUGACUUGCGAUAUACACCUCACCUUUGGAGUUGUAGCCCAGUUGUAGAGCACUUGUUUAGUGUCUUAGUUAGGGUUUUACUGCUGUGAACAGACACCACAUUUACUACUCUUAUAAGACCAACAUUUAAUUGGGGCUGGUUUACAGGUUCAGAGGUUCAGACCAUUAUCAUCAAGGCUGGAACAUGGCAGCAUCCAGGCAGGCAUAGUACAGGAUAAGCUGAGAGUUCUACAUCUUCAUCUGAAGGCUACUAGCAGAAUACUGGCUUCCAGGCAGCUAGAAUGAGAGUCUUAAAGCCCACACCCACAGUGGCACUCCUACUUCAACAAGGCCACACCUCCCAAUAGUGCCACUCCCAGGGCCAAGCAUAUACAAGCCAUCACACUUAGCGAGUGUGAGGUUCUUAGUUCAAUCUCUAAUACCACCACCAUCAAAAAAAAAAGUUUAGUAAUUUUUCAAACCAGCCAUGGUAGUACAUGCCUGUAAUAGUCAAGGUACAAACAGAAGGAUGAAUUCAAGGCUACCGUUAGCUAGUGAGUUUGAAAUGAGCUUGGCUUACUUGAGACCCUGUCUCGAAAAUAAAAAGUAAAUACCUUAGAGCCAGACUUGGUGACACAUGCCUAUAAUCCUAGCAUUCAACAUGCAGAAGCAAUGGGAUCAUAAACCUGAGCUAUAUAUGAAAAACCUGCAUUUUUCUUAAAGUCAAAAGACAACACCUUGGGAAUUAGACCAGGGCCGGGGGGGGAGGGGGAGGGGGAGGCGAAUUUUUUUUUUUGAUGACCUCGUGGUGCAAAUGACCUAUUUAUCUCUUUGUUCAGCUUACCCUGAGUCUGACCAAUGCACAGCCUAUAACUGAAACAUGAACACAAUAAUAAGGAAAGAAAAUUUAGGGGACAACUGGUAGUAUAGACAACGAGCAUAUGGUGUCCUGGGGGUCCCAUCCAUAGUGUAGAGAGAGACAGAGAAUGAGCAAGAGAAUGAACAAUAAUUAUGAACUCAGCGGCUUUUUCCAGAACAAUGCUGACAUAAUAAUAAGGCAGAAGCACGGUGUAUUGAGAGUUAGACAAGUACGGUGGCACACAUUCUAGCAUUUGGGAGGCAUAACAGGUAUCUUAGUCAGCGUUUUAUUGCUACGAUGAAGCACCAUGGCCAGAAAGCAAGUUGGGAGGAAAGGGUUUAUUCAGCUUACACUUCCACAUCCCAAUCCAUCAUUUGGAGGAAGUCAGGACAGGAACUCAAGCAGGGCUGGAACCCAGAGGCAGGAUCUUAUGCAGAGGCCAUGGAGGAGUGCUGCUUACUGGCUUGCUUCCCCUGGCUUGCUCAGCCUGCCUUCUUAAAGAACCUAGGACCACCAACCCAGGGACUCCACCUGCUACAUUGAUCUGCUAAGAAAAUUCUCUAAAACUGGAUCUCAUGGAAGCAUUUCCCCAACUGCAUCUCCUUUCUCUGUGAAUCUAGCAUGUAUCAAGUUGACAAAACCAACUAAUAUAGCAAGAUUCUGGUCCAAAAAGUUUUUCUGCUUCUAACUCUAAAGGAAAGGACCAAAUACAGUUGGGGAAUCCUGCCAUUUCAAAAAGUAAAGAAGAAAUCACUGGAGAAGAAAGAGAUUCAACGCAUCCAAAGUCCUAUAUAUGAAGGAAAACCAACUGACUCAAAGGAACUAGAAACCAAUCCAAGGGACUGUUUCCUUCCUACCUAGGCCCUGGUUGGGCACCUCUUCAGCCAUAACACCAGAGGGAAGAGGCACAAAGUAAGUUUGCUGCUGUUUUUGUAUUUGCGGAGUUAGCCCUGCUGGAGAAUCUCACCUAGGGACAUUCACAACUGUGUAAGCCCUCUACCUCACCUAUAUUCACAGCCCUCAACAGCAGCUUUGAUUCCAAGCCCCAAACCUCCAACGUUAAGAUAACUCGCCCCCAAAAUGCCCCAACAUUUAAAAGUAACUUUUAGAAACCCACGUUUUUAUAAACCCUCCCCAGUAAACUUCUGGAAGACAUUCCCACAGUGGUAUUUAGUGAUCACUCUCUACACACUGGCAACAUAAAAUUCAAGAAGACUCAGAGGAAAGGGGGAGGUGAAUAAUUUCCCAGACGUCAAACAGACUCCAUCAGUCACAUCCCCGAGUUACAGCUCUCCUAUCCAACCUGUCCAGCCCCAAGAGAGGGCUCCAGGUGCCGACCUUUCUCUAAUUGGUUUCUAUCCCCACACCUUCCUCUUAAGUCAUCAUUUUCUGGGAUAAUUGGUACCUAUAAAUUCUUGCUAGAGUCAGUUUCCUUUCAUUGAAAAGGUGCUUAUAUUGCAAACCUAAGGAGCAAUUAUAGAUUCUAUGUUUAACUAGCUUCAUUCUUGCCAUUUAAUACCUAGUGUUAUUUGCUGCAUCCUGUCAUGAUAUUUAUCGAGAAUAGGCAGAAAUGCACCCAAGUAAAUAAUGUUAGUAUUAGAGCCCCACUUUCAGAAAGAAAAAAAAAGUCAUAGGAAUAGAUCAUCAUUUACCUCUUCUGAUUUGGCAAUGUAUGUUGCAUUAUUAAUCUAUUAGUGGAAAUGCAUUCCUCCAUGUCUUUGUUAAGUGAACAUCUUGCCAGAAUGUUUGGUAGCUCUUUUGUUAUUUGAUGAGUGACCAUAUCUCUUCCUACAGCAGCACUUCUUAUCUGGGUAUACCAUGAUCGUGGGGACAGGAGCUGGCAGAAUCAGGCCCUUCCUUCUAAAAUGCAUGGUUGUUUUCAGUGUAAAGAAGAGUUCAACAUGUUUUUCCUUAUAUUACACAGUAAAUUCCUUCUGCUAUCCCAUAAGAUGAAUUCAUAGUCCCGAUUCUAGAAGUAGCUGUUUCAUAUAUUCGAGUGGAACCAUAAUUUUUCGAAUAUUGAAAAGUCAACUUCUUGGUCUCGGUAUUGUGGCACAAGCCUUUAAUCUCAGUGUUCAAGAGGCAGAGGCUCGUGGGCCUCUGUGAGUUUGAGGGUAGCCUCAACUACAUAACAAGUUUUAGGAUAGCCAAGGCUAUAUAGUGAGACUCUGUAUCAAAAAUUUAAAAAAAGAAAGAAUGUAAGAAAAUCAAUUUCUUUCUUCAUUGGCUCUUAGCAACCUUAGCACUAACUCAGUGUUUACCCCAGCAAAUGCACAGAAUGUUCUGGCAUAUUUGCUCCAUAAUUCAGCUCAUAAUUAAGUUCAUAUAAACCCAUAUAACCUUUGCCUUAGUCAUCUUACUUAUUUUUAACUUGGUUUUCACCUUUCUCUGAAAAUAUCACGAAUUUUCUCAAAAUUCAAUCAAGUAACUAGAUGUAUGGAUUGAGAGCUACAUGAAAACUUCAUCUGAUAUUCAGUUUCUACGGAUUCCUCCCUAAGCCAUUUACCAACAAAGACUGGUUCAGCUCUAAGGGCUGGGCACUUACUCUUGAGAAUUUGACUUUAAACAGAUUAAACCAAAACAAUGUGUGAUAAAAUGUGCUUUGCAAUAUGAUAAACAAAAGAAGCACAAUUAACGUCUUAUAGGACUGGCCAACCUGUGCUAAAGGCUAACCAAGAGCUCGGUGGACAAGGAGAAGCCCUGAACCCUGUGUUAAGGCUGCUGUAAGUCUGAAGCUAGUGAGUCCCAUAGUAAUCACUUCAGCGAUAUCACAGUCCCCAAAGGGAAAAGAUCAUGGUGACAUUUAGAUGCAACUGUGCCAUGGUUCCAAGACCAUUUUCUCACUGGAGAUUGGUUCUGAGAUGGCAGAAUAUCAUAGUAAAAUUUUCUAUCCAUCAUCCAUGAAAACAUUCAAGACCCUAUCCUUACUUUUCAAAACAAUUUUAUGAUUACAGUCACAGAAUUGGUGUGUGUGUGUGUGUGUGUGUGUGUGUGUGUGUGUAUGUUAUUAUCAAUAUUUCCAAUAUAUAUGCUGUUCUUAGGGCUGGAGAGGUGGCUUAGCAGUUAAGAGCACUAGCUGCUCUUCCAGAGGACCCAGGUUCAAUUCCUUGCACCCACAUGGCAGCUAACAACCAUUUGUAACUCCAGUCCCAAGAGAUGCAACACUCUCCUGGACUCUUCAGCUACCAGGUAUGUGUGUGGUACACAUACACACAUGCAGUGCUCCUCACCUACGAGGUGUACAGAAUCAGUUCUAAUAGGCCAUUUUGAUUUACUGUUUCAGCGCAAUGUAUUUAAGUUUUGGAAUGAAAAAAAAAAAAACCUUAUUAAAGGCAACAUGUUUCAAGCAUAAGGCAUUGUCCUUGGCAUAGUCUUCAACAUAUUCACUUAUUUUAUUUUUUUUAAACGUGUGUGUGUGUGUGUGUGUGUGUGUGUGUGUGUGUGUGUGUGUGUAGGUUUAUGGAUGUGAAUGCAGAGGCAAGAGAAGUCAGAGUUAGAGCUAGAGUCAUAGGCAUAUGAAAAAAACGGACUAGGAUAUUGUCUAGUGUCUAGUUACAGUGCAAGACCCAAAGUUCCAACUACAGACACACACACACACACACACACACACACACACACGAUAACUUUGUAAAAUUUACUUGCAAUCAAACUACAAAGAAUUCUCAUUACUUGUCUUCAUGCUUACAUGUAUUAAAGCCUAAAAUCUGUGGGGCGAAUUUUUGCAAUGUUUAUGGUAUUUAUUACAGAACAUCUUUUUUUUUUUUUCUUUUGGUUUUUCAAGACAGGGUUUCUCUGUAUAGCCCUGGCUGUCCUGGAGCUCACUUUGUAGACCAGGCUGGCCUCGAACUCAGAAAUCCGCCUGCCUCUGCCUCCUGAGUGCUGGGAUUAAAGGCGUGCGCCACCACGCCCAGCCAGAACAUCUUUUGAGGUAAGACUAUCUCCUAAUCUUUCACAGGCUGCUACUCGCUCAUUUUGCAAAGUGAUACUCUAAGGACCCCCUGCCAAUAUUGGGAACGCUCUCUUGUGGAUUAGAGUACUGGGCUCUGGUAUCUAACCCAUGGCAGGAUAAGCAAGUACGCAAGCACUAGCUUCACCCCCAACACAAUGUCGAGAGCUCUCAGCUAAACCAGACAGGAGACCUCGAAAUGCUUUGGAAGCAGUGCUGAGCCCGGCAUCCCCAUGUUAGUCCGAAGAAGACGAGCUCCACACAGAAGUCCAUCUCCCAAUCCCCAAGAUCCAUGUGUGUUACCUUGUGUGGCAAAAGGGACUUUGUAGGUGUGACAGGAACGAUCAUCCUAGACUGUCCCAGUGGCCUAGCAUCACCUGGGUCCUCAUAUGAGCGAAAGAAAAGAAAGAAGUAAAAACAAACAAACAAACAGUGCCUGGCCCAUAGCCCUCUCUAGUGAACGGGACUUUGGCUCUCCAGCCUGCACACAAAUACAUUUGUGUUCUUUUAAGUGACUAAUUGUUGAAAUUUUUUUCUCUCUCUUUCUUUUGUUGUUGUUGUUGGGUUUUGUUUUGGGUUUUUUUUUUUUUUGGUUGGUUUUUUAUUUUUUGUUUGGUUUUUUUCUGUUUGUUUGUUUUAAGAGGAGGGGUUCUCUCUCCAUAGUCCUGGAUGUUCUAGAAUGUCCUAUUCAGACCAGGCUAGCUGGAGAACUCCCAGAGAAUCAUGUACCUCUGCCUUCUGGGUGUUAGAAUUAAAGUCAUCCACCACCAAGCUCAGCUGUUGAAAUUUCUUAGAGAGGUAAUAGAAGAUAUAAGGAGAGAGAGAGUGAGAGAGAUAGAGAGAGAGAGAGAGAGAGGCUGAUAGUUAAAGGUAAAAAGUGAUUUUAAAAGCUUAAAGCUUUCCAAAGGAAAAAAUGCAGAACUGCCUGUCUGCCUCUGCUUUGUCCUAAGUUUAUGUCUGCCGCUGCUACCACCAUCUUCUGCCAUCGAUCCACCUUCUUCUACUUUACGAUGUUGACUGAAUAGCAGUGAUUUUCUCAGGGAGCUUCUGGCCUACAGGACAGCGUUGGAACUAUUGAGCAUCCAGCUUCAUGCACUGAGCAGUUACCCAGUUUUCUGGGUCUCCAGAAUGCAGACAGCCAUUGUUGAGCUACCCCAGCAACUGUUGUUUAAGCCGUCCAAAGACUACCCUUUAAAAUGCCAUAUAUAAAUUCUGUCUAAUCUGUCCCCCUGGCGAAUCCUACCUAAUAUAAAUAGCACUCACAAGAACUCACCCACAUCUCAGGGUGCACUGAGAUCCGCUUCAAGCCAAGUGUCUGCCAUCUGGGAUCGAAUGUGAAAAGAUUACCCAGAACCCGAAAGAGAACUCAAGUCAAAUAACUUCACACCAGGCAUUGGAUUCGGCUCCAGUACAUCUCUCUUGGCUCGCCUUUCCACAUGUGCUGCUAGUGACUCACAUUACCCACUACACCAUAUCAACACCUUUACACGCCUAAGGUGAAACUCAUGUUUUUAAAAUAAUUUUUUAAAUGUUUAGCUCUGGAACUCUACACUGGUUUCUUUGUAGUGUAUACUUGCUUAAACAGAGGAUGUGGUGCUAUCUCUAAAAACGGUGGAUCACGUCAGUCAACACAGAACCAGAUCUGCAACAGGGUUUGAUUUUUGUGGGGGUUUGUGUGUGUGUCUAGAUUAUAAAGUAAGAGCAAAGGGAGAUAUUUAAUUUCUUUUCUGAAACAGAAGAAACAAACCCCGCGGGAUUUACUAGGGCAAUUUGGGGGCGGAGGGGGUGUGUGUGGCGGGGCUUCCAGACUUGUUCUUUAUGUACUUCAUAGAGGAGAGAAGACACCAUUUUGACCAAACGUUAAAAAGAAAUCUGUACUCAAUGCACCAUCAUGAAAUGCUUGUGCUUUAAAUCCCACUAAACUUCUGCUCCUACCACUUUAAAUGUGGUUUUUCCAGCAGGCGGCUGAAUACAGAGGUGGUGUGAUGACUUUACACAGCACCACACAACCUGGCUGCAAUCUAGCUCUGCUCACCGACUUUAAGCAAAUUCUUUAACUUCCCUGAUUCCUAAUCCUUAAAUGAAGAUGACACAGAACCUUCACUGCUCCACUCAGCAUAGCCACACAUUAUGUAUGUGGUCAUUAGCUGUGCAUUUUUCCUUCCUAAAUGAAUUCUCACAAUAUUCUGUUUCAGCUAUCUACCUCCGCCCUUUGAACAUUGCAGAACUGUGUUAUAAGGUUUCUAGAGACACAAACACAAACACUGGGCUCUACCUGCUAUUCUCCCUUUACCCAGAACCUGACCUCAUCCACGGCUCUGACCUCCCUGACAGCAGAAUUCACACCACUUCCUGAUCCACACAACACCUCCACCUUCUCCCACCGUGCUAAGCCACAUGCUCCCAUCCUCGGGAGCCUCUACGAAGUAAUGCUGAAUGAGAGCUCCCUAUAAGGCAGUGGUUCUCAAACUGUGGGUUGUCUAAGACCAUCCUGCAUAUCCAAUAUUUACAUUAUCAGAUUCAUAACAGUAGCAAAAUUACAGUUAUGAAGUGGUAAGGAAAAUAAUUUUAUGGUUGGGGAACUACGUGAGGAACUGUGUCAAAGGGCCACGGCAUCAGGAUGAUUGACAGCCACUGCACUGUCCUCUGCACGCUGACUGUCCAUCACUCUCUAAUACCUACUUCACUUUGGCAUGUUGUUGGCCACGUGCAGAAAUCAUUGCAGGAACUGGAUAAUUCCAAAGCCCAACUCAGAUCUCAGUGUUAAUAGGGACUCAUGGAGAAUCCUGCCGCUGGUUUAGAAAUGGCACCCCAGGAGCCCUGCCCAUCCUGGUACAGAUCUUCAACCUAGUGCCAGCUGACAGAGGAUGGGCAAGGACCAGGACCAUGUACCUCCAGCACAAGGCACAGUGGUCGCUCAGGAAGAGAGGGAGCAUCAGUCUUCCCCAGGGAUGAGCCCCCAAAAUGAGUGUCCAGUACCAAGCGGUCAGCAUUAAAAACAUACACACAAGUAACGCUGAACAGAUUCAGCAGGUUGUGUUGACACUUUUAUUCAUUUGUAAAGCUGUAAGUGUGGGAGGGAAUAGGGGAAGGCAAGGGGAUGGUUGCAGGGAGGAGAGAGGGGGAAAUGACAUGAUUAUUAAUUGUAUUUUAAUUAAAAAUAAGCCAGUCGCUGUAGAAUGAAGGGAAAACGUUUGUUCUUCUCAGGUGGGAACAACAACCCAUUGUUUCUCAUAUAAAGAAGAGUGACCUUGGCGGGAACAGUCACAAACACAGCCUUUGUUAUGGCUCUUGUCUUUGUUGGAAGGUUUUUGAAAUAUGGCCCGACACUAAUGGCUCAGGCUGGCUUUGAACUUAUGGCAUCUUCCUGCCUCAGCCUCCAAAGUGUUGUGAAGAUUUUUAUCAGUACUCAGACUUGGAACAAAUAAAGAAGGAACUGGAGAAAUGGCUCAAGUGUCGAGAACACUUUAGUGCUCUUACAGAGGACUCAAGUUCAGUUCCCAGGACCCACAUAGUGAUACCCUGUCUGGAAAAAAUAUGAAAAAUUAAAAUAAAAUAAGGACCUCUUUGUCCUCGGAUCUUUCCUCUCUCUGGAUGAAUACAUUUCUUUUACAGUACUGGAGAUUGAACCCAGGGCGUUGAGCAUACUAGGCAAGCCACUCAGCCACACCCUUGGCACUCUCCUGUCUGUCAUCUAUAAUUUAAUGUCUAUUAAGAAGCAGUGCCAUUUGGUGGGUUUGUGGUGUCCCGUGUCUCAACCAAUAUGCUGCGUGGCACGCAUCUUUACCAAGCCACACUUUAGUACUACAGGACAGCCAUUCACAUGUGUCAAAAUAUUUAGCACCAACUACUAGUUAAAGUGUCAGUCCUCAUUUAAGAUAACCUCACGUCAAAACAGACAGAAGGCACACACUGGAGUGAUCAACUGGAACACUUGUCUUCCAGGCUGUUCCUAGAAUAUGUGUGUGCUCCCGAAGCAGACGCCUCAAAACCCAGCUUGAUCUUGGGUAGCGGGAGCCACCUGCUCUUUCCCAGUCCCCCGAGCCGACUCUUGGUUAUCCUCAUCACAUCCUUUUCUAUUCCUUAACCUUUCUGAAUGCCUUGUAUCUGAAACCCAGGGAUCCUGGAAUGAAAACCCAGUGCUUCUCAGCUAUUACCUAGGCACACGGGGCAAGGAAUUGAAGUAAAACUGGAAAGGGGCCGGCUUUAUCGAUUGCAUAGGCAAUGUUCUCCAAAGAGGAGGGCAGACCUUCCUGUCGCUUCAUGGACACGUAGUGCUCCGGAGAACUGAAAGUCUGAAAGCAAGAAGAAGCUGAAAGUCCACAGAGGAAGGAAGGAAGAUCGCCCUUUUGUGAGGAGGAAGAGAACUGAGGACUAAGAGGAGCCAAAGACAACCUGUAAAAGCAAGAAAUACCAAGAAAGAGGGAAACUCCCGUUCGCCUGAGUCAUCACCAAACAUACUGUGCUGCGUCAGCUUUAAAGCGAGUGCCGUGGAUUCUCCGAGAGAGGUCGCAGGGACAUUGGCUGCUGGAACUUUAGCUUGUCAUGAGCCCUCUGUGCCUGAGUUCGCACACCAACUUCAGGCAGAAUGCUAGAAGUGCCGGGGACUCCAAUUUCCAUCAGGGUAAAUCUGUAGUGCCAAAAAUGAGCUGGGAAAUACUAUGAAGCUGGGGUGGGGGGCAAACCAAAGAGGGGGAACCCUCAUCCUGCUUCCAUGCUCAUGGGGGAUAAAACUACUGUCUGCAUUCUACCUGAGCCUCCAGAAAAGCAGGCUAUCCCAGUGUGAGCCAGGCCCAGGCAGGCCUCCAUGAAGACUACGUAGAACUGCCUUUCAUAGAAAAGGGAAAAAAAAAAACUCAGAACAGAAAGGGUUCUUUAUUUGUUUCUAAUUUCUAAAGACAAACAACCUUUGGAGAAAAAAAAUUAAUCUUUGUCAGUGCUCCGACUGGGAACAAAUAAAGGUGCUAGAGAGAUGGCUCAGUGGUUAAGAGCACUUUACUGUUCUUACAAAGGACCCAAGUUCCGUUCCCAGCACCCACCUCAGGCUGCUCACAACUGCUUGUCCCUCCAGCUUUGGAGGAUCCCAUGCCCUCUCCUGGCCUCAUCAGGCACUGCACUCAUGCGCACACAUGAUUAAAAAUAAAAAUUUUAAAGACAAAGGAAAGAGUUGAAUGGAGCUGUUACACAAUACGGCAAAGUCCAGGGCAGUGGGCUCUGCGUAUGCUAUUUCUUUUUAAUGUAUAUGUGCGUGUGCCUGAGUGAGUUUAUGUAUACCACAUGCAUGCAUAUGACCAUCAAGGCCAGAGGGUAUCAGAUCCUCUGGAACUGGAGUUACUGGCAGCUGUAAGCCACCUGCUGUGGUGCCAGGAAUUGAUCCUGGUCUUCUGCAGAAGCAGUAAGAAUGCUCUCUCUAGCAUCUUCUGUGCUAGUUGAUUAGUUCUCAGAUGAUAGCACUUUGGAGACCGAGCAAGUAGAUCUCUCUUGCUAGUUCUAGGCCAGCCUGAUCUACAUAGUGAGCCCCAGGCCAUCUACAGCUUCAUCGUGAGACUCUAUCUCAGCAAAUGAAUUAAUAAAGCUUUUAAGUCUAAUUAGAAAGUACCUAUAAAAAAAGACAUGUAUAGACCAAGCACGGAGGCACACACCAAUAAUCGCAGUACCUCAGUGGUAGAGGCCGGAUGAUCAGGUAGAUCACUGUGGUGAUUUAAAUAUGUUCGGGCCAUGGGAACUGGCAAUAUUAGGAGGUAUGGCCUUCUUGGAAAUAGUCACUGUGUCACUGUGGGGGGAGGUUUUGAGGACUCUUCCUAAGGUCAAGCUCUUCCCAGUGUGGAAUGAGACCCUCCUUCUGGCUGUCUGCAGAAGAGAGCCUCCUUCUGGCUGCCUUCCAAUUAAGAUGUAGAAUUCUAUUUUCUUUCUUUCUUUCUUUCUUUUUUUUUUUGGGGGGGGGGAGUGGGUUUUUUUUGUUUUGUUUUGUUUUGUUUUGUUUUGUUUUUUUGGUUUUUCAAGACAGGAUUUCUCUGUGUAGUCCUGGCUGUCCUGGAGCUCACUCUGUAGACCAGGCUGGCCUCGAACUCAGAAAUCCGCCUGCCCUUGCCUCCCAAGUGCUGGGAUUACAGGCAUGCGCCACCACUGCCCAGCCAAGAUGUAGAAUUCUCAUCUCCUCCUGAACCAUGUCUGCCUACAGGCUGCCAUGCUUCCUGCCGUGAUAGUGGACUGAACCUCUGAAAUUGUAAGCCAGCCCCAAUUAAAUGUUUUCUUUUAUAGGAAUUGAUUUGGCCAUGGAGUCUCUUCCCAGCAAUGGAAACCCUAAGGCAAUCUCUGUCAAGCAUAGCAUGUCCUAGGCUCCAUGAGUCUCUGUCUCAAGAAAGUCAAAAAUCAGGCCAGCAAGAUGGCUCAACAGUGGCUGCACAGAAACUAAGACCACCUUCAAAGCUCUACAUCCAAAGGAGGCUUGUCUCGCCAACCCAGACACGAGGGCGCACUUUGUGUCCUUACUACCUAUUUGUCUCAGCAAAGGACUGAGGAGCCUGCAGUCGCUGCUGGAUGGCCUGAGGGAGAUGUUAUCCUUUUCCCAACUUAAAUUUUGAGCACUAAAGUACCUGAAAACAUCUACCAUCUACCUAUUAAAAAAAAAUAGAUGGAAUUGCAGCAGCACACUGGUGUUUUGUACAAUACACAUCCUUUUCAAAUGUUGUUUUUCUGAAUUUUUUCUUUUCAGUCCCAAACGGAAAAUGAAGCAAGCCUGCAUAACAAACACAAGGGCUGGAAUGUUAUUCUCUGUGUGAAAUUUUACAGCAACAAUUAUUUUUAGUAACAUCUGGGCCAAAUGUUCUCGCUGGACUUGGUUUAUUCUGAAAUUGGACACUAUGCAAUACCAGGAUGAAACACACAAACCCACAGUCCUAGGCUACAAAUACCUCUAGAGUUAGAAUUAAUAUGCUAUCCUACAUAUCAACUAAGUUUCGGUAAGGGCAAAAUUUGGAAUGUGGAACAAUUACGGUCUUUUCUGAGCAAAGUAAAACAUUUUGUGACUACAAAAAAAAGGAGAAAAAUCUACUUUUCAAGUCCACUUGCUCUCUGUCGGGGAUGGUUUAAUGUUUCCUUCAUUCACAGUUCUAUUAUGGAUGGUUUAAUGUCCCAUUUGUUAUAAAAAGCCAAUAAUAUCAAGUCCCAAAGGGAAAGGCACAAAGUACAGCGUCAAUGCUUCAGCUAAAUGGGGACAGAUGUGUGUGUCCAACUUCUACAGUCUAUUUGUCUCAUUAGCAGCACCUGAGUCCCAUAAUUACACUUCACACACACACAUACACAAUGUUGGGGGUAAAACCCAAGACAUCACAUGUAGGUCUACCCCUGCAUUUUCUUUUUUUGUUUGUUUGUUUGGUUGGUUGGUUGGUUGGUUUUGGAUUUUCGAGACAGGGUUUCUCUGUGUAGCCCAGGCUGUCCUGGAACUCAAUCUGUAGACCAAGCUGGCCUCAAACUCAGAAAUCCUCCUGCCUCUGCCUCCUGAGUGCUGGGAUUAAAGGCAUGCGCCACCACGCCCAGCACCCCUGCAUUUUCUGAUGCAGGAUCUUGCUAUGUAGCCAAGGCUGGACUUGAAAUCAAAAUUCUCCUACCUCUUGCGUGUCAUAGACCUAAUGCCAAGAGUAUACUUUUUGCUGUAUGUUUGUUUGCUAGUCUUUUUCAAGACACAGUUUCUCUGUGCAGUGCAGGCUGUCCUGGAACUUACUAUUUAAACCAGGCUGGCCUCAGAACUCAAAGAUCCACCUACCUCUGCCUCCCAAGUGCUGGGAUUAAAGGUGUGCACCACCAUGUCCAGCUCCAAGAGUACUUUUAAGUGUCUAAAACAAGACCCCAAUAACGUGAGUUCUGAAUGCAUGGCCUGAACGGACUUCAAAACCCAACUUAGUAAAAAUUAAAACACAAGCAGUGUGGUUCAAAUCAAGUUUUAUUUUCUAUUUUCUCUUAACAUGGUAAGGACUCCUGAGCUGGAAUCUCGGCUUACACUUCUCCAGCUGGACUCUCCCUGGUGCUGGCUCUGCAAACAACCAAAAUCCUGGUCCAAAUACUCUGGGAAAAGGAUAACAUUUGGCCCUUCUCUCCAGAGGCUUAGAGACACCAAGGGCAAGUGGGUAGCAAAGUAUUGGAACUCAAAGACACGGGUGAAAUGUAAAGCAGGGAAAUAUAAUAAAUACGAUAUUCCAUCUCUCUAGACCUACAGGAACAAGUAUCUGAUCAGCAUGAUAGAUUAUUUUGAGAAGUUCUCGAUCACUAUAUAAAUUAUAAAUUGGGUUUAAGCAGUUCCCCUGGUUGUUUUGUUAAAAUUGUUUUGCCAUCAACCCAGUAAUAAGUAGAGAAAGCCACGCCCACAAUCUUUCCGAGAAUGACCAUGCAUGCAGUGUAAGUUGAUUGAAUAGAGUGAAUGAAGAAGGGAUCUAAGUAAUGUCAACACACUCAGUACUGGGUCUUGAAAGGUGGAAUUUUCUUCCCAACAGAGGACAGUGGGUAUUUCUCUAAAUUAGUAUGCACAAAAAUGUUUUCCUACCCAGUCAGCUCAGUGCUCUCUCUCUCUCUCUUUAAAGAUUUACUUAUUUAUUUAUUUAUUUUAUGUAUGUAAGUACACUGUCACUGUCUUCAAGCACACCAGAAGAGGGCAUCAGAUCUCAUUACAGAUGGUUGUGAGCCACCAUGUGCUUCUGGUACCUGAACUCAGAACCUCUGGAAAAGCAGUCAGUGCUCUUAACCUCCUGAGCCAUCACUCCAGCCUGUAUCUACGUUCUCAAAAGGUUGGUGUGUCUUCUUCCCCAUACUCAAGACAAAGGACAAAAAUAGGCUAAAGACUUAUAUAACAAACAAGGUUCAAAAAACAAUAGACAGUUUUACAAGAAAGGUCUCCCCCUAAACAAUUUACACAGUUAAGUGUAUGGACUUUAAGAAACUGUUAGAAAAGACAGCAUUAAUCAUUUAAAGGAAGGAAGGAAGGAAGGAAGGAAGGAAGGAAGGAAGGAAGGAAGGAGGGAAGGAGGGAAGGAGGGAAGGAAGGGAGGGAGGGAGGAAGGGAGGGAAGGAAGGAAGGAAAGGAGGGAGGGAAGGAGGGAGGGAGGAAGGAAGGAAGGAACAAAGGGAGGAAGGAAGGAAAGAAGGAGAAAGGAAGGAAGGAGAAAGAAAAGGAGAGGGAAGGGGAGGGGAGGGGAGGGGAGGGGAGGGGAGGGGAGAGGAGAGGAGAAGAGAAGAGAAGAGAAGAGAAGAGAAGAGAAGAGAAGAGAAGAGAAGAGAAGAGAAGAGAAGAGAAGAGAAGAGAAAAGAAAAGAAAAGAAAAGAAAAGAAAAGAAAAGAAAAGCCAACUGUAAGUCAAACUGAUCCCAAAUGCUAAUCUCAGGUUUCAGGUUGAAUCUGGGGACAUCAGGGCACAGGGAACAGUAGCAUCAGGCUCUCACGUGGGAUGCUGCAGACAAUGGGCUGAUCCAUAACUUCAGUCUACUUUAGACCCUUGGAUGGAUGGGCUAAGAGCCCAGUGAGCUGUAAUAACCCUGAAAAGCUUUUGGCUCUGGCUGUGGACACAUUAGCAUGAACUUCAAUCUGUUUCUUUGUUAGUAACAAGAGAUAUUUGCUUGCACUUUCUGCCUAAAUGGAUCGGAUAAAGAACCUAAGACCUCCAACAAUGGAAUUCGCAACUGGUACAGCUGCUAGUCACAGCUUUGGGCCCCAAAUGAACUUUUUUUGUGGAGGAGAGGGUGACAUUUCCCCUUAGCUAUCCUUCCUUGAAAUAGGCAGACUUUCAUGGGAUGUUUCUGUCCACAUUAUGGAAUUCAUGCUUUAUUUCCCUUUCUUGGCUCCUCUCUGCUGUAAUCUAAAGUUUGCUAUAUGUUAUCAUUUGGAGGGGUCCUUAACGAUGUCACCAUUUAGAAAUGUCACACAUCCAGCCCUUUGUUUCUGAGCUAGAGCGCACAGACUGUUUAAACAGUAUGCCAAUUAUUCUUGCUAGGAGUACUCAAAGCCAGGAGGAUGAAUUUCUCCCAACAUAUCACUUAGCUUAAUAUCUAGAAUGAAAAGAGCCCCUCACUGCACCAGUAAAAGUUGGUAUUUACACAACAAACAAUCAGAGGACCUCUGUAUUGAAAUCAAGGUUCCUAUAAGCGGUAAUUGAAUAACAUGCAACUUAAUUUUGUGUUUGUUGUUUUUAUGUACACUUAGACGAAUUACAUGUGACACUGAUUCAUAUUUAUACUGAUUGCAAGUCAAUAAAUGAAUUUCACUCUGACUAAAAUUAGGCUGAAUAUUUAACAGAUGGACAUUCUAAUAACAUUGUGGAACAACAUUUAAUUGGAUUACUUUUUUGUUUCCCCUGAGAGCCAGAGUCUCACUAUGUAGCACUGGCUGGCCAGGAAGUGACUGUGUAGAGCAGGCUGCCCUCAAAUUCACAAGGAUCAGCCUGUAAAGGCCUGUGCCUCCAGCCAUGGCUAGUUGGAUUACCUUUUAACUAUCAGUAGAGAUGAGUGUGUAGCUCAGUGGUAGAGUACGCCCCAGGGUUCAAUCCCCAGCAUCAAAGAGAAUCAUAGAAACAGAUAAAGGUAUACUCAGAAGCAGGCAUGGCAACAUUGCAUAUAUUUGUUUCAUUAGUCAAUCAACAAGAAUUUUUUUUAACCCAGAUUAGGCCUAGCGUGAAUUUAAAAAGAGAAAAAUUAGUCUGAAACUUUAUAGUAAAUUAAACAUCAUUUAAAUAGUUUUAAAUAAGUCAUCUUGGCAGGCCUAUAUUAAACCAAGAAUAUUGUACAACUCAGGAAACUACCCAGAUGGGAGGCCUUGGAAAGUUGGUGGGUGUGGUGUUUGCAGUAACUGAGAAACGGUGUAUGAUCUUAAUAAGGGCAGUCCAUAAUCCCACAAAGACAAGAUCAGAAAAGCCUAAGGACCAGGCAUUUAUAAUCUCACCACCAGACCAGGAAAGACACCCAAGGAAAAGCAGAGACCUGUGUUCUUUCUUUUUUCUCUUCCAGUUUGUUUGUUUGUUUGUUUGUUUGUUUGUUUGUUUGUUGUUUUGUUGGUUCUUUGGUUUUAUGAGACAGGGUUUCUCUAUAAUAGUCCUGGCUGUCCUGGACUCACUCUGUAGAUGAACUCACAGACAUCCGACUGCCUCUGCCUCCAGAGUACUGGGAUUAAAGGGUGUGCCACUAUGCCUGGCCACCUCGUUUUCUUUUUCUUUUUCUUUUUCUUUUCUUCUCCCUCCCCCACCCCCACCCCACCCCUGUGUGGUUUUUUUUUUUUUUUUUUUUUUUUUUUUAUUUUGAGACAGGGUUUCUCUGUAUAGCCUGGCUGUCCUGGAACUCACUCUGUAGAACAGGCUGGCUUCGAACUCAGAAAUCUACCUGCCUCUGCCUUCCAAGUGCUGGGAUUAAAGGCAUGAGCCACCACUGCCCAGCCACUUUGUUUUCUUAAUAGCACCUUUGUGAUCAUUUCUAAGACAUUUGGAAAGGAACAUGAAGUUAUGAUGAUUUUAGUAUCCUAGUAAUAUAAUAUUUUAGUAAAAUGAAAAAUAAUCUAAAAGAGAAAAGGCACUUGUUUUUAAGGACAUGCUCUCCCCUUAGCCUGAGAUGUGCAGAAGCUGCCCUAAGCUCAAGUCGUGAGUUCUAGGCGCCAAACUUACAUUCCCUCGUCAAUUUUCCUCCCUAUAAAUAGUCAGUCCUCAGCUCUAGCCCCAGUACCUUCCCUGAGAUGUAGAGUGUCGCUGACCCCUCCCUCUCAAAUGCACACUGCCGAAUUUUAUAAAUAAGAUAGCCAUUAGCCAAGCUUAUGGGGACUUGACAAAUUGAUAACUGCCUCCAAUUUUUUUCAUAUUAAUAUUAGUUUUGUUUUAUUUUGAAACAGACUCUCACUCUGUAACCCUGGCUGGCCUGAGAUUUAUUGGGGAAGACCAAGCUGGCUUCAGACUCACCGUUGAGUUGGCUGCCCUUGCCUCCCAAAUACUGAGAUCGAAGGUGACUGCGCACCACCAUACCACACCCAGCUAACAAUAAUUUUUUUAAGAGAUUUGACUAUCUAAAGUGCCCAUGAGUAAGCUCCUCCCUGAGAAACAGGCAGUGUGGUCAAAGGAGGGCUCCUCACCCUCACGCAUAGGGUAUUGAUGUGCUCAAGUGUGGGCAACAUGUUAUCAGACCCCCACAUUCAGAGAGACUACCUUGGCAUGGGACCAAAAAGAGGGUCUAUCUAGCCUGAGGAGGCAGGGAGAGCUGGUUUAGAGAGACCUCCUCUAGAAACAGUCUUCAUAUUGGGCUCCCCUUAGUGAAGAGGCUCACAAGGACCAGCCCUUUCCAGAACAAGUCUACCUUCACUCCAUAGCUUGGAAGCAGGAAUAUAUAUAUAUAUAUAUAUAUAUAUAUAUAUAUAUAUAUAUUCCUUUUAUUCUCAAUUUCUUUCAUAAAGCUUAUACCUGUAGCACAUGGGAUGGAGAAGAUGAAUCCUACCCGUUUCUGCAUUAGCUUAUGCAAUUAAGGGGGACGAAAUGGGAAGAGAGGACUCCAUGUUAGCAGCUCGAUGGGUGGGGCAAGCUCCUGCCUGUUGUUUGGUGUUCUGUGACUUAAACCAUGGAUGGCAGAAAGCCUUAGAGAAGAACAGACCACAUCUAAACAGACCUUUGCUUCCAUUCCAACACCCUAAAAGUUUCUUCAAUGCUCAAAUACUUCUGGAAUCAGUCUUUGGCCCCAAAGCGUCAAAGUCUAUUGCUUAUAACAGGUUAUCUCAUUAUUUUUCCAAAAGGGGUGGGGGCGCCAUUGCUUAAAAACAGGGCAUAAUUAUGUGCAUGUUAUCUUUCAAGUUGAUAUCACAUACCUGGACCUAAAACUCUAUAAAGAGUUCCCAGGGAAGAGGGGUCUCAGGCCAGAUAAAAUACACAAAUCUGUUCUCCUAAAUCCCCCUUCUAUUGCCUUCCAAGCACACACAUUUAUUUCCAGCCUCUGAAAGAAACGGAGUAUAAUGUAUCGGGAGGAACAGUAAGAUGGCAUUCCAUCUCUGUUCUUGUGCUCCAAAAAGGCCACACCUAAGAUGCUGGAGAGCUGAGGCUCAUGCCUGAGGCACGAGUGCAGCUCUGCACUCCUGUCAUCCAUAAAACAGGAAACAAAACAACAGUGCUUAGAAAUCUUCACUUCUCCCUCUGCUGCACCUUAGUUGGGCUUUGGAAGCAGAAAAGAGAAUCCGUUUGCUGGGAAACAGAGUGAGAACUCCAUCAUUUUUCCUCUGCUGUCUGUGUUCUGCCAGCUGACGGUACCUAGUGCAAAAUUUAACCAUUAAAGGGGGGCAAUCUCCUAGCAACCCCACUGUUGGGCAAAACUAAUCAAGUGUCCACACUACGGCUUCACCCUGCCUCUCCUCUUAUCACCUACUCCCCCAGAACAGGGAAGGGUGGCAACCACUACAUGGUCCUUUGGCACAAACACAACCUGAAUCUUAAGAAGCAGUGAUGUUGACUGAGGGAGUUCCCACCCUCUCUGCGCCCCUCGCUUGCCACAGAGUAAACAAGUCCACACAGGGUUAAGAGAAUCUAAAAUCAAUUCACUUUAAUCGGGUCUAAAAGAAAAACCUGCCUUGCAAUUACAAAAGAAAAAGGAAAAACCCCCGAAACUGCACAUCAGAAAAACACAUCACAUGAAGAACAAACCAAAAUCGGGGCUGGGGACCAUCUUGAACAUCGGGCGCUGCCUUUGACCUCCCGGGAUGGCAUAUAAAACCAUGCUGCCCAGCCCAGAUCCCGAGAGCGAUUUACAAAGGGCUUCCAACAUCCCCCCCCUUCCACAGCAACACUUCCUCCCGGCUUCCCAAACGCUCCGAACAAAGACCUUCUUGAAGCACUUACUGGAGCAGCAGCUUCUCUCAGCGAUUGCCUGUGACCACGCAGCAGGAGGGGCCCGGAGAAGGGCGAGUCGGAGUCCCCAGCUUCCCUGCCUGCUGAUGUGUAUGAGACAGCAGCCCAGGAACCGACUUUCCCAUCACAGCCUCAGACUGUAAUCCAUGUGCUUCCCGCGGGCCAGUCCCAGCUGCCUACAGAGCACCACAUGAUCUGCUCUGACAUCAGAUCAGCCCCGAGACAGCCCAUCCCAUCCGCCAGCCCCUUCCACGCUUGUGAGUUGCAUCACUCUGAGCCCUGGGUUGCAUUGGAGCAGGUGGUGUACAGAGUCAGGAACUGUUGUUUUCUUACAAGAUAUUUUUGGGUGGUCUGGUUCCUUCUGUUUCUAGCAGACAGGGUAAAGCAGCCUACACUUGCAUUUAGAUUUAUUCACAACCUGUAUGUAACAGAAGCACAGCAGUGACUGGAGACCCACUCCUGAGUCAAGAUGCCAAUGCUAUGGGAGUGACCUCAUCUGCAAAAGCCACCGACACUGCCCAAACCACCUUGCAACACAUCAUCCAUCUCGUGCAUGCAUGCGUGUGCCUGUGCGUGAGUGUGUGCGUGUGUGUGUGUGCAUACUUUAAGCAAGUCAUCACAGUAUGGUUCAUGGAAGGCCUCAGGGACAUAACCAUUAGACUUGGUGCAGCAUGAAGUUCUAAUCAUGAGAGAGCUCACCUAUAGUCCAACCAAAAUACACUUACAGACCCACACAGCAAAUGGGCAGGGGGAAAUAGAGAAAGCCUAUUUGCACUGAAUGCAUUUAGCCACCAACCAUUUAUUUAAUCACCCAUAAAUCACCUGACAACAAGGAGCCUAUCAAAAUGGGGGAGGGGGGAAUGCAUAUUUCUAUUUCCAUUCCUGUGAUAAGAAAAGAAAGUAAUGGGGUUUCCAAGGCUCCUCCUCUCCAGUGCCCCCACACUGAAGUCACAGUGUGGCUGCCACACCCACAUUUUAUAUGGUGCUGGGGUUCAGAACUCAGCCAUUCAUCCUUGUGCAGCCAGGGCCUUCCACUGAGCCUCCUCAGUCCCUUCUUAUCUUUGUCCCUUUGAGACAAGGUUUUACCUUGUAGCCCAGGCAAGUCCCCAACUCACAGCAACCUCCAUGCCUCAAUCUUCGUAUUCCUGGGGUUACAAAUACGAGCCACCACAGAUGGCUUUAAAUUGGAACGCUGUUAGGUAAACCAUGUUUUAUUCUAAUUUCAUUAUGGUAUAUUGUAAUGAGUACAAAAUUUAAGGUAAGAAAAUUCAAAGUCACUAAGGGUUUGUUGUUGCUGCUGUUGCUGUUUCAUUUUGUUUGUUUGUUUGUUUGCAAGACAGGGGUCUCUCUGGGUAGCCUUGGCUGUCUUGGCACUCACUCUGUCUAUGAGGCUGGCCUCGAACUCACAGAGAUCUACCUGCCUCUACCUCCCAAGUGUGUCACUACCGCCAGGCCAUCAUUAAAGUUUUCAUGAAGAAAAAUCACAACCCAAACAGACAGUAGUAAUCAAAAGUGGAAGUGCAGAACAGACAGUGGUAAUCAAAAGUGGAAGUGCAGCAGAUACUUCGAAAGCUGCUUUCCUUAAAGACCAUUUGAGGCAUCGGGGCAAAGGCCUAACAUCGCAGCCUCCAUUUUUAUCUCUCUGCUUCCUCUCAUUUAGCUGAAGAUGUGAAGAUUAACUCAUCAUCCUAAAAGCCAUCCUUGAGUUCUUCAGAACAUCUUGCUGGACCAGCACCGCAGUGAUGUGGGGGAACCACACCCUGACCAGGACUGCUUAAGUAAGCGUAGCUCACAGUCUUUAAAAACCUAAUCAGCAUUCUAAAGUUGGAGUUGGGGUUCCUGGACUUUAUAUCUUCCUCUCCCUUCCCCAAUGUGGCCAAAUCAAUCAAAUCUCCCUUUGUCUGCUUUUCACCACUAUUCCAUUGUUCCUCUCUUUAGCCAAAAUACUGGGAUGGGUGGCCAAGCCUCACCUGUCGUGGUUGCUGGAGGCCAGGAAAAACCCUAGCAGAGAAAAUUAUCCUCUUUAUUUUAACUUCCUAUGCAUUCGGGUCCCUAAAGCAGUUCAGGCAUAUAUGUGGAAACAGUGAAAAAGCAUUUGAACACCAUGCACCAUGGUAUCAUUUCUAGUGACUUAAACCCCAUGCCCUCAGAGACACUACACAGUUUUUGAUGCUUUGUGCAUAACAUCAAAGAAAUGGAGCCAGCCUAGAUGUUCAUCAGAGACGAGUAGAUAAUGGAAAUGUCUAAAGUAUACGCACAAUGAAAUGUUACUCAGCUGUGAAGAAAACUAAAAUGUUUCUGAAAGUGAACGGAUCUGAAGUACAAUACUAAGCAAGAAGACCCAGAUUCAGAAAUUCAGGGAAAAAAAAUUCAGUGUGUCCUCUCUCAUAUGCAGAUCUUAGCCUGUAGUGUGUGUGUGUGUGUGUGUGUGUGUGUGUGUGUGUGUGUGUGUGUGUGUAGGGGUGGGGGUGGGAAAGAGUAAGGAAAGGAGACCAAGAGAGGGUAAAGAUGGGUGAUGGAGAUGAAAAGUGAGCAAAAAGACACAUGGAAAUGGGGAAAAGACUGGGCAGUGAGGACCAGAGGGCAGCGGAGACUGAGUGAGACGAGGCAAGAGGAAACUCCAUAAAACACUUUGAUCGAAAAUAGCAUAAUGAUGUCUAAUGUUCCAUAUGCUAAUUUUAAAUUUUUUAAAAAUAACUUUAAAUGAUAAAAGAAUCGUGUGGCCACUAUGGUAGAAUAGGAAGUCCAGACAGCUGCAGUCCAGACCUUGCUUCCUGCACAAGUCCUGCCAUUUCCCAGGUGAUGAAGUGAAUCGAGCAUUCUGUACCUUGUCAUAAGCUCCUUUCUCACAACCCUGAGUUCAUGCUAAUGGGCUGACUGGAAGGAGAGGGACAACCACACGAAGCUGCAGGCUGAGAGCUAGCAACCAAGGAAUCACACGAUUGAGGCUGGAAACCUCUCGUCUCCAGGAAGCAGAGAAGAGCUGAGCCUGGCUUAAUCAUAGAUGACCAGUGUUUUGGUCAGUUGCACUAUCUAAUGAGUCUCCUGGAAACCCUAAGUAGAUGGGCCUGGUGGCGCUUACCCUUAAUCCCAGCAAUGGAAGGCUGAAGCAGAAGGGUUGCCUCAAUUUGAAGCCACCAUAGGCCAAAUAGUAAACUCAAAGGAGGCCUGGGCUACAGAGACCCUUUCACAAAAAAAAAAAAAAAAAACAACAACAACAACAACAAAUAACUGUAAACUGCAUGGCAGGGGCUUCUGAGCUGGCAAAAAAUUUUCAAAUUCCACAGAGUUCACAAGGAUGGAAGCCCUUCACUAAAGACCCUUCCUAACCUCAAAUUACAUCAAGGUUUUUAUUUAUGACCUUACUAACAGAGUGUGUGUGUGUGUGUGUGUGUGUGUGUGUGUGUGUGUGUGUGUGGUGUGUGUGGUGUGUGUGUGGUGUGGUAUGUGCAUGCACCAGAAUACUUUCUACAGCAUGUGUGUGUGGGUCCAAGAGCAACUUGCAGGAGCUAGCUCUCUCCUUCUGUCAUGUGGGUUCCAGGGAUCAAACUCAGGUUGUCGGGCUUAGGGCAGGCACCUUCCCCCACUGAGCCAUCUCUCGGAGCCAGCUCUGCUCUGUUUCAUAUUUUGAGACAGAGUCUAUCACAAAACUUGCCAGGUCAGUUAAACUCACUGAACAGCAAGACCCAAAGAUCCUCCUAUCUCUGCUUCCCCAGGUUUGGGGCUUACAGGUAUGUCCCCAAACCUGGCUUUCUCAGGGCCUCAUGUUUUACAGGCAAGCACUUGACCAACUGAGCCAGCACCCCAGUUCCCCCAAUACUCUUUAUAACAAGCCAGUAAUGGGGACUAAAGUAUUUCCUUGGGUUCUGAGAGCUGCUGCAACAAAUUAGCAAAUGAAGGGGAUUCCAGUUUACAGCCAAACUGCACAGAAGUAGGGGUAGUCUGGAGACCUAUUAUGCUUGUAACUGGCAUAUGGAAUUGAGGGCGACUUUGAAGGCCUGAGCUCUUAACCUCUGGUGCCUGCAUUAACUGUGCGUAGUGAGUGUUAGAGCUGAAUUAAAAUUUCAGACACCCAGUGGGAACCUGCCGAGAGAUGGAGGAGUUCUUGGUAUGAAAAACCCAGAGGUGCUGUGUGGACAGAAAUCAAUCACAGCUGUAGGAGGUUCACACAGUCUCUUCUUUAUUCGGCUAAUCUCCAGUAGCAAUAAGAUGGAAAUUAGGUGUCCCAAGGAACCUCAUGGUGAAUCACAGUCAAAGGCAUGUUGUUAUCUUCUUGGGAGAAAAUACUACAUGCUUGGUACCAUCCAAAUCAAUGACUUAAGGAUUACAUAUAUAUAAUAUGUAUAGCAUUAUAUACAUAUAACAUUAUAUAUAAUAUAUAAGUAUCACAUAUAUAUAUAAUUGUAUAUAUAAACAAGUUUAUAUACUUACAUUUAUAUACAUGAUAAGAAAUCAACUAUUAUGCUGAUAAUUACAUUUAGAUUUUUAUUUCCAUUGUAUAAAUUAUGUAAAUAAGUGUUAUUUAAAUAUGUAUAUCAUAACUUCACUCUUUUGUGGUUCUGAGGACUAAAGGGACCUCAUGUAUGCUAGACAAAAACUCAGUCCCUGGGCUAGAGAGAUGGCUCAGUGGUUAAGAGCACUGACUACUCUUCCAGAGGUCCUGAGUUCAAUUCCCAGCAACCACACAAUGGCUCACAACCAUCUGUAAUGGGAUUCGACGCCCUCUCCAGGUGUGCCUGAAGAAAGGUACAGUGUACUCAUAUAAAUAAAUUAAAUAAAUCUCAAAAAAAAA
This is a long non-coding RNA of Mus musculus (house mouse), 27039 nucleotides long. RefSeq annotates it as predicted gene, 52631. The transcript has 2 exons. Lineage: Eukaryota; Metazoa; Chordata; Mammalia; Rodentia; Muridae. The record is from RefSeq and is a predicted model, not a curated record.